Molecule: unclassified non-coding RNA, 376 nt
Filed under: soil metagenome
Description: partial contains 5.8S ribosomal RNA, internal transcribed spacer 2, and large subunit ribosomal RNA
Rfam family: 5.8S ribosomal RNA (bases 1-120)
Source: RNAcentral
GAUGGAGAACGUAGCGAAAUGCGAUAAGUAAUGUGAAUUGCAGAAUUCAGUGAAUCAUCGAAUCUUUGAACGCAUCUUGCGCUCCUUGGUAUUCUGAGGAGCAUGCCUGUUUGAGUGUCAUUAAAUUCUCAACUACACUGACUUUGAAUUGGUGUGGCUUGGAUUUGGGGGGAAAAUUGUUGUGGGCUUUUUGUAUAGUCUGCUCCCCUGAAAUUGAUUAGCGGUACCUUUGUGGAACUGUCUACAGGUGUGAUAAUUAUCUACAUCUUAGACAUCUGCUGGAAUGCUGCUUUCUAAACCUUACUUGUAUUGACAAUCUUGACCUCAAAUCAGGUAGGACUACCCGCUGAACUUAAGCAUAUCAAUAAGCGGAGGA